UCCCUGGUGGCUCAGAGGUUAAAGCAUCUACCUUCAAUGCGGGAGACCCGGGUUCGAUCCCUGGGUAGGGAA
Molecule: transfer RNA, 72 nt
Organism: Ovis aries (sheep)
Lineage: Eukaryota; Metazoa; Chordata; Mammalia; Artiodactyla; Bovidae
Rfam family: tRNA
About the family: Transfer RNA (tRNA) molecules are approximately 80 nucleotides in length. Their secondary structure includes four short double-helical elements and three loops (D, anti-codon, and T loops).
Source: Rfam